Long non-coding RNA from Amborella trichopoda, 428 nucleotides. RefSeq lists it as uncharacterized. The record is from RefSeq and is a predicted model, not a curated record. Lineage: Eukaryota; Viridiplantae; Streptophyta; Magnoliopsida; Amborellales; Amborellaceae.
ACCCUAAUCCCUUGCUCACUACUUGAUCUUAUCUGAGCAGCUACGCUUGCCCGGUCUCUCUGUCAGAGCUGCCUGAGAUGCUGCCCUUCCAGAAAUGAACGGCUUAGAUUCAUUGAUGAGGUUGGUGGCGUCCGCCAUGGCUGCCCGAGAGAAGGUCUGGGCAGGGGAUCCCGCUGCUGUGAAGACGGCCCGAGAUCAAUUCUUGGAACAUGGAGAACAUAUUAUCUUCAAGAACUUUCUUUUUGUAUUAUACAUCACACUAGAAUUAUUUACUACUCUUAUUGAUAUUUGUUUUGUUGUUGAGAAUAAUUUGUAUUAGAAUUCUAUUUACCACUCUUAUUGAUAUUUGUUUUGUUGUCGAGAAUAAUUUGUAUUGGAAUUCUCUUAUUGAGAAGUGUUGUUGAAAAUAAUGUUGUUUUUUUUUUGUA